Molecule: ribosomal RNA, 526 nt
Filed under: uncultured bacterium
Lineage: Bacteria
Description: bacterial SSU rRNA
Rfam family: Bacterial small subunit ribosomal RNA
Source: RNAcentral
CUGGCUCAGGACGAACGCUGGCGGCGUGCCUAAUACAUGCAAGUCGAACGGUCUUUCUAUGGAAGCUUGCUUCCACUGAGAAGAUAGUGGCGAACGGGUGAGUAACACGUGGGUAACCUGCCCAUAAGAGGGGGAUAACAUCCGGAAACGGGUGCUAAUACCGCAUAGUUUUCUUGAUCGCAUGAUCGGGAAAGGAAAGACGGCCUUUGUGCUGUCGCUUAUGGAUGGACCCGCGGCGUAUUAGUUAGUUGGUGAGGUAACGGCUCACCAAGACGAUGAUACGUAGCCGACCUGAGAGGGUGAUCGGCCACAUUGGGACUGAGACACGGCCCAAACUCCUACGGGAGGCAGCAGUAGGGAAUCUUCCGCAAUGGACGAAAGUCUGACGGAGCAACGCCGCGUGAGUGAAGAAAGGUUUUCGGAUCGUAAAACUCUGUUGUCAGAGAAGAACAAGUUGGAGAGUAACUGCUCCAGCCUUGACGGUAUCUGACCAGAAAGCCACGGCUAACUACGUGCCAGCAGCCGC